AGGUCAAAUCACCCUAUUAGUCCCAUUUCCAUGUUUAGUAUAUAUUUUUUACUUUUUUACCCUAACUCACAUUACUUUUUUACAAUUAUACCUUUAUUAAACUUUAUCAAUUAACCCCUAUUAAUCCUACAUAUUUUUAAUGAAACACAUUAAUUAUAUUUACCUACCCACCCAGCAAUCUUCUUUUUAUUCAUCAGACUUCUAUAUCUUCAUCAUUUCUGUUCAUCAAACACAUUAAUUCCUGAUAUUCUUGUUCGUUUGUUCAUCGAUUUUGUGGGUUUGGUCUUUGAAAUCUAGGAUCUUGGUUUGUUCUUGAUGAUUUUGCGGGUUUGAUGAACACUAGUAAGGUUCUUGAUGAUGAUAGCCCUAAAAGGGUUGAUCUUGAUAACCCUAAAAGGGUUGAUGAUGAUUACCCUAAUUAUCCUGAUGAAUCUGAUGAUGACUAUGAAUCAUCUGUUGAGACUAAUCCAUGUUGGGGUCGAGAACUGGAUUCUGAGGGUGAACCCAUCUACACUCCAAAAUCCGACGAUCCUAACCAUGUGUAUAAUUCGAUAGAUGCUAUAUUUGCUGAAAGUGAUUGUGAGUAGGAAGAAUGGCUUGGUAGCCUUGGUCCAUUUACAAGUAUGUUUAUGGUCAUUGAUUGCAUAUUUUUCUUGACUAGUGAUGAAAUGAAUUUUUGGCUUGUUAUUUGAAUUGAUGCAUUAAUGAAUACAUGCCCAAUGAACUUAUGUGAGGGCAAAUAUUAUGUGCCACAUUCAUAGCAUUAUUUUAUUCAUUUGUUGAUUUUAGGAGGCUUGGUAUUGCCACCAGAUUUGAUCUUGGAGGCUACCAAUUGCCACCAAAACCAAAUGUUCAUAAAAAUAAGGCUUUAACUCAAUGAUGAACGAAAAUUAAACCUGAGAAAAACUACUACACAACCACUGUUUUAAUUUCACAAUAAUUUCAAUACAAUUUUUUCACAAUAAACAACAUAAAUUUUUAUACUUGUUAUUUGAAUUUGAAACAAAUGUUUCCCAAAAUGUAUCCAAAAGCUAUCCAAAAACUGUCCAAAAGUGUGGUUGAUUGCUUGUAAUACCCCAGAUUUAGCUUGAAAAAGGAUUGAUAGACUAUUCAUAUCAACAAGGUGCAUCUUCUUUUCUAGGGAGCCCAUUUGCUAAGAACUUGGUGGAGAGCAAUCUUAGGAUGGGUGACCUCUUGGGAAGUUUUCCCGGGUGCGCACGAGUGAGGCCAAAGUGCGCUGGAAAGACUUGUGUUGGUUUGUGGGGCUAGUCUACAGUCUCUAAGAGUAGUCAUCAGCGGUCCGAGGGGCCGAGGUGUUACAUUGCUGUUUGUUAUGGUUUUUCUACAAAGUUGAAAUUCAUUAGCUACUUUGUUGAUUGUGCCAAGCUCUGGUCUUCUUUUUUGUUCAUGGAUGAUAGCAGUUUUUGCAUAAUUUGGAUUUUUUGAUGUGGAGUAACAUCUUUUGUUUUACCCAUUGUGUUUGUUUGGUGUGCAAUUAAUUUGUGCAAUUAAUAGAGCAUAUAUAGAGGAUUUUUGCUUGCUCCUUCCCAAAUUCUAUUUUGCUUAUUUUUGCUUUUUUCCUCCCAAAUUAUGUUUUCAAUUUUGGAAAUUUUGGAAUUUGAUUUUUGCUUGUUCCCUCCCAAAUUGUGUUUGGAGAAUUUUGGGUUAUUGCCUCCAGAAUUCUGUUUUUAGUUUUGGAAAUUUUGAGAUUUGAUUAUUUGAUUGUUCCCUCCUAAAUUGUGUUUGGAGAAUUUUGGUUUAUUGCCUCUAGAAUUCUGUUUUCAGUUUUGGAAAUUUUGGAAUUUGAUUUUUUGAUUGUUCCCUCUCAAAUUGUGUUUUGGAGUAUUUUGGGUUAUUACCUUCAGAAUUUUGUUUUCAGUUUUUAGAAAUUUUGGACAUUUGAAUACUUAAUGAAACAAAAAGAUUUGACAAA
Molecule: long non-coding RNA, 1933 nt
Organism: Amaranthus tricolor (Joseph's coat)
Lineage: Eukaryota; Viridiplantae; Streptophyta; Magnoliopsida; Caryophyllales; Amaranthaceae
Exons: 2
Source: RefSeq, a predicted model, not a curated record